CGCGCCGCAGCGCACCUGACGCUUGGAUCGUGAGCAGGGAUGCCUACACGGAUAGAGCAGCUCUCCAGGGCCAAACCAAACCUUCUCAAGUUCCCUGACAGGCGCUCAGUAUACUGGCUUGAUGAACUACCAACCAGGUCAAAGAGCACCACUACUGCCUUUGAACUGACUCCUCGCUUGGAGCAGCUCGCCCAGGGCAAAGAAUCAAGCCGUUUCAUUGAGGAGAGCAGGUGACUAAUGUGAUUUCCAUUCAAACUACUUACUUAUUAAAG
This 272-nucleotide long non-coding RNA is filed under the name Sinocyclocheilus grahami. RNAcentral's name for it is "lncRNA (ENSSGRG00000050564.1)". The record is from RNAcentral. Lineage: Eukaryota; Metazoa; Chordata; Actinopteri; Cypriniformes; Cyprinidae.